Molecule: ribosomal RNA, 250 nt
Filed under: uncultured bacterium
Lineage: Bacteria
Description: partial 16S ribosomal RNA
Rfam family: Bacterial small subunit ribosomal RNA
Source: RNAcentral
GACGUAGGGUGCAAGCGUUAUCCGGAUUUACUGGGCGUAAAGUGUUGCGUAGGCGGAUUUGCGCAUUUUGUUUAAAAGGCCAAGGCUCAACCUUGGUUUUGGGCAAAAUAUGGCAAAUCUUGAUGGCUAAAGAGGAUACUAGAACUCUACAUGUAGCAGUGAAAUGCGUUGAUAUGUAGAGGAAUACCAAAGGCGUAGGCAGGUAUCUGGGUAGCACAUGACGCUGAGGCACGACAGCUAGGGGAGCGAA